UUGGUAAUACUAGCUAAAGCAUCUACAGUGGCAGUUAGCAAUUUGUCAUUAUUUUUAAAAAAAGGUUAAAAGUAUUUAUAAGCCUGCAUUCAUGUUAUGUUUUACAUGAUAAUUUUAUCUAGCUUAGAUGCAAUACUCAAAAUAUAUUAAGCUAUGUGGUUUGUCUUAACUUUGAAAAUGAAAGAUAUUUUCGAAGUUAUUUUAGAGGUCUUGAACGGGACAGCAUGUAGCACAUCUUUUCAGAGUUUCCCAUUUAUGUGGGUCCAUAUAUGUUUUCUCAUAUUGGUUAAUAGUUUUGCUCUCAGUAAGAAAUUCUUGACAAAUUUUCUCCAUUAGAAAUUGCACAGCUAUUUUUCUGCCAUUUUUCCUUAGUGAGACCUGUGGGUUUACUGACAGUCUUUUUUGUUGUAGAUGCAUCAGAGGCAGCAUUCUCCUCAGGCAAAACUCAUGUGAGAUACCUGCACUACGUUAAGCUGAGUAGACAAGUGGGACAUGACUCUUGUAACUUUGCAAGAAAGGUUCAUAGCAGAGAAAUUCUAUUUGAUUUACAAUUGAGUAAAGGAGGGAGAGUUCUAUUUAGGGACCUUGCUGUGCCUUGGCAUGACUCCAAAGCAUGAAGGUGAAAUGCCUUCUAAUGGGGUUGUAUUGCCUGUGGUCUGACUGCAGUUUUUCAGAGUUGCUAGAUUUUCUGUUGGGGAUUUUGGGUGUCUGACGAUGGGAGACAACUGAAGUUGAAGCUGAAGUUCCACCUUUUGCCUGGAAGCAGUCUGAUAGAGCAGGAAGGUGAUAGUCCACUUUUUUCUGUCCACCAGUACAGAGUUGCAGCAAAUCUUUUGAGGUGACUUUAGAGCUUCUUUGUGGAGGAAGGUGAUGGUAAAGAAACCACUUGCUUUUGUUUGUUCAUUCAUCCUGACUAGGUAAACAGAAAUCUGAUUCUGGCAAGCAUAACUUAAGGCAGCCUCACCAUGUAGGCAAUAACCUUAACUUUGAUCUUCCCUGCCUGGUUCCUUUGUGAAAGGGAGCUCAUCUGUGUCUCAUGAGCGAUCGGAGCUUUUUUUUUUACUUUCUUAUUCAGAUACUGAAUUUAGACAGCAGAGCAGAGUGACAUUUAUGCAAAGUAAUAUUAUUUCUCAUAUUUUUCCCUAAGCUUGAAAAUUCUAGCAUUGACUCCUUGCUUACUUCCCACUGCAUUAAACUGAUACUUCUCAGAUACUGACAGCCGUGCACAUAAGGUGAAUGAAGAUUGAGACAAUUGUCAAUCUAUCUGGUAAAAGUGAUGGUAUUUCAAAAGUUUUUUGUGCAGACUCUGUUCUGAAGCUGAAUUGUGAGCCUGCUUUGGCUUUCUCCUAAUCCCAUGUCACAGCAGGAAAUAAUGUAUGACCAGAUGGUGGUGAGAAGAAGAGUUGCUGGGCUUCCACAGUGGAAAUUGUGACUGACUGAGUGAUGAAGUAAAAGCAUUUGGGAAAGGAAAGUGGGAAGGCACUGGUCUGCGAUAGCUCAGAGAUGGAGGGCAUUGAUGGGACUCAGGAUCUGCAGCUCUGAGUGAGCCUCUGAGGUGGUAAGGCCAGUAAGG
This is a long non-coding RNA of Passer domesticus (house sparrow), 1573 nucleotides long. RefSeq lists it as uncharacterized. The record is from RefSeq and is a predicted model, not a curated record. The transcript has 4 exons. NCBI's taxonomy places the organism in Eukaryota, Metazoa, Chordata, Aves, Passeriformes, Passeridae.